UUAUUUAAUUCUGCAGAUGCUGGAGUUGAGCAAGUCAAUCUGGCAAUCAAAUUCUAUUCUUAGUGUAUGCCAAAUUUGAUUAUGUCUCUUAAGGCAUUUAGUCAAGAAUUCUUUAGAGAAGCUAUCAAGUUGACGAAAAGCUAUGUGAAGUAAAAGAGUAAACGGUCGGAGAUGCCCUUGUAGAUCACCUACCCAGCUUUGGAAGGACAUGGGUGGAUAAUUAUCACCGGAUUUGAUCCAAAAAACACAGGGCGUAGUUACCUUAUUCUUUUGAGAAGGCAUUCUUCUACUGGAGAUUCUGAUGACAAGAAGAUCAGUGAGGAGCAAAUGGAAAGCUAUUGCUUGGUUGAUUAUCAAAAAUCGAUGUUGAGAGCUACUGUCACUUUAUUGAAAAUGUUAAUCUAAUUGCAAGUUCUUUGUUUGCUUGUUCUGUAAUGCCAACAUGACGGGUAACAAAGACAAAAAGGUUGAGAGUAAUGCAUGUUUCACGUUGUGUCAUAUGAGAGUAUACCUCCAGCUAAAGAAUAUAGUGACUUUUCGUCUUUCUGUGUGAAUGGUAUGCCUGCUUUUGCAUCUCAUUUGAGAUUUGUUC
Long non-coding RNA from Lycium barbarum (goji berry), 592 nucleotides. RefSeq lists it as uncharacterized. The transcript is spliced from 3 exons. The record is from RefSeq and is a predicted model, not a curated record. NCBI's taxonomy places the organism in Eukaryota, Viridiplantae, Streptophyta, Magnoliopsida, Solanales, Solanaceae.